RNAcentral lists this ribosomal RNA (508 nucleotides) under uncultured bacterium. RNAcentral describes it as "bacterial SSU rRNA". It matches the Rfam family "Bacterial small subunit ribosomal RNA", at positions 21 to 518 of the family's 1533-position model. The record is from RNAcentral.
GGCUCAGAACGAACGCUGGCGGCGCGUUUAAGCAUGCAAGUCGAGCGGCAAGGGCCUUCGGGCCCCUAGAGCGGCGGACGGGUGAGUAACACGUGGACAAUCUGCCCCCCGGCCCGGGAUAGCCCAGGGAAACCUGGAUUAAUACCGGAUGAGACGGGACCCGCGAUGGCGGGACCCGGGAAAGGCGCUGCGGCGCCGCCGGGGGAUGAGUCUGCGUCCCAUUAGCUAGACGGCGGGGUAACGGCCCACCGUGGCGACGAUGGGUAGCCGGCCUGAGAGGGUGGACGGCCACAUUGGAACUGAGACACGGUCCAGACUCCUACGGGAGGCAGCAGCUAAGAAUCUUCCGCAAUGGGCGAAAGCCUGACGGGAAGCGACGCCGCGUGAACGAAGAAGGCCGUGAGGUUGUAAAGUUCUUUUCGGGAGGGGGAACAACCGUGGCAGGGAAUGGCCGCGGGAUGACGUGAAUCCCGGAAUAAGCCCCGGCUAACUACGUGCCAGCCGCCGC